Molecule: long non-coding RNA, 567 nt
Filed under: Gossypium raimondii (Peruvian cotton)
Lineage: Eukaryota; Viridiplantae; Streptophyta; Magnoliopsida; Malvales; Malvaceae
Description: long non-coding RNA (GRAI_LNC000964)
Source: RNAcentral
AAGACAUCAUCUCAACCUUUUUGUUGUAAGAACUACAAGAUUAUUUUACUUUAAAUUUUUUUUAUUUAAAUGCUUAUAUUAUAGUAUAGAAUUAUUUAGAAAUAAAAUAAAAUAAAGUAAAAUAAAAGAUUAUAGAAUUAUGAAAUUUGUAAAGAAAAUGAUAGAUGGAAAGUAUAAGGUGGUAUAUUGUUUGAACAUUAAGUAAAUGUUGUGACAAAAGUAUAUAUAUGUGAAAAUGGUGUGAUAAUUGUGAAUUGUGAAAUAAGCACUAAAUUGUUAUGAUGGAGAAAUGAGAAGUGUUUUUCGAAAUAAUUCUAUAAAGUAUUUAAAUGAAUGAGAUUCAGUUCUAAUGCCCAAGUAGAUGGAUUUUAGAACUACCAGGAUAUUAGUGGCAUGCCAUUAAGGAACUUAGCGCGCUCUCUGAUUUUUAGCACGUUAGUGCUCUCUGACUAUUAGCACGUUGGUGCUCUUUGAUAUUUAGCAUGUCAGUGCUCUCUGUAUAGCACUUUAGUGCUCUCUGUUCAUUAGUGCAUAAUAAUGCACCUCUGUAUUUGUUUCAUAUAUCCG